This 254-nucleotide ribosomal RNA is filed under the name uncultured bacterium. RNAcentral describes it as "partial 16S ribosomal RNA". It matches the Rfam family "Bacterial small subunit ribosomal RNA", at positions 15 to 252 of the family's 1533-position model. The record is from RNAcentral.
GAUCAUGGCUCAGGAUGAACGCUGGCGGCGUGCUUAACACAUGCAAGUCGAACGGGAAACCUUUUAUUGAAGCUUCGGCAGAUUUAAUUUGUUUCUAGUGGCGGACGGGUGAGUAACGCGUGGGUAACCUGCCCUAUACAGGGGGAUAACAACCAGAAAUGGUUGCUAAUACCGCAUAAGCGCACAGGACCGCAUGGUCCGGUGUGAAAAACUCCGGUGGUAUAGGAUGGACCCGCGUUGGAUUAGCCAGUUAG